UACACACCGCCCGUCACACCAUGGGAGUUUGUUGCACCAGAAGCAGGUAGCUUAACCUUCGGGAGGGCGCUUACCACGGUGUGGCCGAUGACUGGGGUG
This 99-nucleotide ribosomal RNA is filed under the name uncultured bacterium. Its description in RNAcentral is "partial 16S ribosomal RNA". It matches the Rfam family "Bacterial small subunit ribosomal RNA", at positions 1384 to 1482 of the family's 1533-position model. The record is from RNAcentral.